Solenopsis invicta (red fire ant) is the source of this 1160-nucleotide RNA transcript. RefSeq lists it as uncharacterized. NCBI's taxonomy places the organism in Eukaryota, Metazoa, Arthropoda, Insecta, Hymenoptera, Formicidae. The record is from RefSeq and is a predicted model, not a curated record. The transcript is spliced from 7 exons.
UUGAAUCUCUAGACUUUUUCUAUCCUGCAGCCAAUCAUGCUUAAAGAAUUUGUCGUACGACACGUGUAAUAUACCGGCCUUACACACACGCGCAAGCGCAUGGUUUUGAAAGAUUGAUGGUCGUGGAUAGUCGUGUCGUUAGUUCAAGUAGACUGUGGUACCGUCUACACAGUUUUCAAAGAAACGAAUACCAAUAUCGACUGACUUGACUUGGCAUUAUUGACACGGUCUGCGUAUUAUCGAAGUGAGAGUGGUGAGGAAAAGCUGAUUAUGACAAUGCUAUGAAAAAAGUUUCUUUAGCAGACCAUAUAACUGAUAUUAGUGAUUCAGAAAAUGCAAAAAAAACUAGAAAAUCUCGUGCACAUCAUAUUCCAUCAUCAAGUGAGGAAUCUGAGAAUGAAAAACGUCCUCCAAAAAAAAGAUUUAAAAAUAUUAGAAGCGCCGCAAAAAAAAUAAUUGAACUCAACAUUCAAUAUCCAAAGUUUCCUUCAGCCUCUAGCAUCAUCAGAUCACCACUUACUAACAUUGAAAAUGAUAACCCAGUGUUGAGAAAACAUGAUAGAAACAUAUCAGUUGUACAAGAGGCAAAUACUUCCGUGAAAACAUACAACAUUACAGAUACUUCUAUAGACACAAAUCACACAUUUUUAACGAGUAGUGGAAAAAAUGAUUUCUUAAUUGAUAACGCAGAGUUGAGAAAACAUGAUAAUAACAUAUCAGUUGUACAAGAGACAAAUGCUUCCGUAAAAACAUCCAACGUUACAGAUAUCUUUACAGACAUAAAUCACACAUUUUUUACAACUGAUGAAAAAAUGAAUUAUUUAAUUGGACCUGUAGAAAUCAAAAUUAAUGACAAAAAGGAAGAUAAUAUUGCUGAUCUACUUCCAAUUAAAGACUUAGAACAACUGGAAAACUUUGAAAAAGAAUUACAAAAUAAGGAAAUUUAUAAUCAAAUGGUAACUAAAUUAUAGUAUCGAGGAGGAAAAAAUGUUGAUGAAAUUGUGAACAAAAUAAUGAGUCUAAUUUUUACUAAUUCUUUAGCGCGUAGCUAUAACUAUUUUGGGAAGAAAAAAAAGAAAGCAUUUUCUGAUUUAGUUUUAUGUAAAUGCAUUUUGGAUGCUAUUUAUCAUCAUAAAUUUGAUGUAAAAGAGGACUAUAUA